Molecule: unclassified non-coding RNA, 416 nt
Filed under: soil metagenome
Description: partial contains 5.8S ribosomal RNA, internal transcribed spacer 2, and large subunit ribosomal RNA
Rfam family: 5.8S ribosomal RNA (bases 1-120)
Source: RNAcentral
GAUGAAGAACGUAGCGAAAUGCGAUAAGUAAUGUGAAUUGCAGAAUUCAGUGAAUCAUCGAAUCUUUGAACGCACCUUGCACUCCUUGGUAUUCCGAGGAGUACGCCCGUUCGAGUGUUAUGAAGCUCUCAAAACGCAAUUGGCUUAAAACCUGAUUGUUGUUUUGGAUUUGAACUUUGCCGUGUUAUAACGGCUGGUUUUAAAAGUAUUAGCUGGUACUAGAACGAAUUGGUUCUACUCAACGUGAUAAUUAUCUGAUCGUUGAGGACAUUCCUUUCACGAGGAAUGGCCAUAGUAAAUUCAAUGGACUGCUUCUAAUCUGGCUUUAAUUCUUUAUUGGAUUAACCACUUUUCAAAUCUGACCUCGAAUCAGGUGGGACUACCCGCUGAACUUAAGCAUAUCAAUAAGCGGAGGA